AAAUUGAAGAGUUUGAUCAUGGCUCAGAUUGAACGCUGGCGGCAGGCCUAACACAUGCAAGUCGAACGGUAACAGGAAGAAGCUUGCUUCUUUGCUGACGAGUGGCGGACGGGUGAGUAAUGUCUGGGAAACUGCCUGAUGGAGGGGGAUAACUACUGGAAACGGUAGCUAAUACCGCAUAACGUCGCAAGACCAAAGAGGGGGACCUUCGGGCCUCUUGCCAUCGGAUGUGCCCAGAUGGGAUUAGCUUGUUGGUGGGGUAACGGCUCACCAAGGCGACGAUCCCUAGCUGGUCUGAGAGGAUGACCAGCCACACUGGAACUGAGACACGGUCCAGACUCCUACGGGAGGCAGCAGUGGGGAAUAUUGCACAAUGGGCGCAAGCCUGAUGCAGCCAUGCCGCGUGUAUGAAGAAGGCCUUCGGGUUGUAAAGUACUUUCAGCGGGGAGGAAGGGAGUAAAGUUAAUACCUUUACUCAUUGACGUUACCCGCAGAAGAAGCACCGGCUAACUCCGUGCCAGCAGCCGCGGUAAUACGGAGGGUGCAAGCGUUAAUCGGAAUUACUGGGCGUAAAGCGCACGCAGGCGGUUUGUUAAGUCAGAUGUGAAAUCCCCGGGCUCAACCUGGGAACUGCAUCUGAUACUGGCAAGCUUGAGUCUCGUAGAGGGGGGUAGAAUUCCAGGUGUAGCGGUGAAAUGCGUAGAGAUCUGGAGGAAUACCGGUGGCGAAGGCGGCCCCCUGGACGAAGACUGACGCUCAGGUGCGAAAGCGUGGGGAGCAAACAGGAUUAGAUACCCUGGUAGUCCACGCCGUAAACGAUGUCGACUUGGAGGUUGUGCCCUUGAGGCGUGGCUUCCGGAGCUAACGCGUUAAGUCGACCGCCUGGGGAGUACGGCCGCAAGGUUAAAACUCAAAUGAAUUGACGGGGGCCCGCACAAGCGGUGGAGCAUGUGGUUUAAUUCGAUGCAACGCGAAGAACCUUACCUGGUCUUGACAUCCACGGAAGUUUUCAGAGAUGAGAAUGUGCCUUCGGGAACCGUGAGACAGGUGCUGCAUGGCUGUCGUCAGCUCGUGUUGUGAAAUGUUGGGUUAAGUCCCGCAACGAGCGCAACCCUUAUCCUUUGUUGCCAGCGGUCCGGCCGGGAACUCAAAGGAGACUGCCAGUGAUAAACUGGAGGAAGGUGGGGAUGACGUCAAGUCAUCAUGGCCCUUACGACCAGGGCUACACACGUGCUACAAUGGCGCAUACAAAGAGAAGCGACCUCGCGAGAGCAAGCGGACCUCAUAAAGUGCGUCGUAGUCCGGAUUGGAGUCUGCAACUCGACUCCAUGAAGUCGGAAUCGCUAGUAAUCGUGGAUCAGAAUGCCACGGUGAAUACGUUCCCGGGCCUUGUACACACCGCCCGUCACACCAUGGGAGUGGGUUGCAAAAGAAGUAGGUAGCUUAACCUUCGGGAGGGCGCUUACCACUUUGUGAUUCAUGACUGGGGUGAAGUCGUAACAAGGUAACCGUAGGGGAACCUGCGGUUGGAUCACCUCCUUA
This 1542-nucleotide ribosomal RNA is filed under the name Escherichia coli. Its description in RNAcentral is "bacterial SSU rRNA". It matches the Rfam family "Bacterial small subunit ribosomal RNA". Lineage: Bacteria; Pseudomonadati; Pseudomonadota; Gammaproteobacteria; Enterobacterales; Enterobacteriaceae. The record is from RNAcentral.